CGGCGAUAUUAAGUCAGUGGUGAAAUCUCUCGGCUCAACCGAGAAACUGCCAUUGAUACUGGUAUGCUAGAGUAUAGUUGGCGUAGGCGGAAUGUAUCAUGUAGCGGUGAAAUGCUUAGAUAUGAUACAGAACACCGAUCGCGAAGGCAGCUUACGAAACUAUAACUGACGCUCAGGAACGAAAGCGUGGGUAGCGAACAGGAUUAGAUACCCUGGUAGUCCACGCUGUAAACGAUGAUUACUCGUUGUCGGCGAUACACAGUCGGUGGCUAAGCGAAAGUGAUAAGUAAUCCACCUGGGGAGUACGAUCGCAAGGUUGAAACUCAAAGGAAUUGACGGGGGCCCGCACAAGCGGAGGAGCAUGUGGUUUAAUUCGAUGAUACGCGAGGAACCUUACCUGGGCUUAAAUGUAGAUUGCAUGAAGGGGAAACCUUUCUUUUCUUCGGAACUAUUUACAAGGUGCUGCAUGGUUGUCGUCAGCUCGUGCCGUGAGGUGUCGGGUUAAGUCCCAUAACGAGCGCAACCCCUACCUUUAGUUGCCAUCAGGUCAUGCUGGGGACUCUAAAGGAACUGCCUACGCAAGUAGUGAGGAAGGUGGGGAUGACGUCAAAUCAGCACGGCCCUUACGUCCAGGGCUACACACGUGCUACAAUGGUCGGUACAGAGAGCAGCUAACCCGUGAGGGUGUGCCAAUCUUCAAAGCCGAUCUCAGUUCGGAUCGAAGUCUGAAACUCGACUUCGUGAAGUUGGAUUCGCUAGUAAUCGCAUAUCAGCCAUGAUGCGGUGAAUACGUUCCCGGGCCUUGUACACACCGCCCGUCAAACAAUGGAAGUUUGGGGUACCUGAAGUUUCGUAACCGUAAGGAUCGACCUAGGGUAAAACAAAUAACUGGUGUUAAGUCGUAACAAGGUAACC
Molecule: ribosomal RNA, 915 nt
Filed under: uncultured Bacteroidota bacterium
Lineage: Bacteria; Pseudomonadati; Bacteroidota
Description: bacterial SSU rRNA
Rfam family: Bacterial small subunit ribosomal RNA
Source: RNAcentral